AUUUAUAAGACUAUUCUUUGCCCAUUGUGUCUUCUUGGUGUCCUUGUGAAAAAUUAAUUGCCCAUAUGUGUUUGAAUCUAUUUCUAGGCUUUCUAUUCUGUUCCACUAAUCAGUAUGUUUGUUUAUAUGCACAGCCGAUAUACAUGCUCAAAUGUCCGUGUUCAUUUCCUAUUGCCCUCAAGAGUGAUAGAUGCAGGAAGCAGAUAAGGAAGGGUCCCUGAAGAAUCUCCGACCCGCCCCACAAGUGUUUAUGUUUCAUGUUUUUGUGCAGACUAAUUUCUACCUUCAGCAAAAUGUCUACCAAAGUCAAGUAAUAGGGCCUGAUCUGAAGCCGCAAUGAGUCUUCAGAUGUCAAAUAUGCCCUGAAUGCUGUGAAUGCAGAAGAUGAAAUAAUUAAUAUCAACUGGGAGAGCCAAGGAGCAAUGGGGAGUUGUGAAAAUAUUUUGUCAUAUAAAUAACAUGAAAAUUCUAAACAAGACAGUGAUGCUAACGAUUAAUUGUCAGAGUCUUUUUAAGAUAAGAGUAUCAGUUUGGGAAUAUAAAGUGUGUUGUUGUCAUAAAAGUGGUGACUAAGAAAGUAAAUUCCGUUACUGAAGAAUGCCCACCAAGAAUAAAGAAUUGGAUGCAAAGCACCUCCAGUGAAAUGCAGAAAUAAAAAGAUAAUUAAGUGUUCAUGAUCACUUUCCUUUGGAAUCAUAGAACUAUGCAACCUUAUUUUUCAACUACAGUGGAUGAAUGACAAACUGAAAUAAAAACCAAUGAUUUAUAUUAAGCCAGGUGGGUAUUUUGUGAUCCUAGUCAUGUAGGAAAACAUUGAUAAACAGUGAAAAUGUGACUUGACCCAUUUUUUUCUAUUAUGUUUGUCCAUAACUUGAUAGUAUGAUCCUUUCCUUUUAUUAUGUUUUAUGUAAGUAUAGAAGAACACCACAAAGCAUAAGCCGGAAUUUGCAUAUAUGACAGAGAUGUAAAGACAUUGGGAAACCUGGCAACUAAAGUUUAAAUAGUUAAAAGUGUAACAUAUAUAACAUUAUU
RNAcentral lists this long non-coding RNA (1032 nucleotides) under Homo sapiens (human). RNAcentral's name for it is "HSALNT0090646". The record is from RNAcentral. Lineage: Eukaryota; Metazoa; Chordata; Mammalia; Primates; Hominidae.